AGCAGCAGCCGCGGUAAUACGUAGGGUGCAAGCGUUAAUCGGAAUUACUGGGCGUAAAGCGUGCGCAGGCGGUUAUAUAAGACAGAUGUGAAAUCCCCGGGCUCAACCUGGGAACUGCAUUUGUGACUGUAUAGCUAGAGUACGGCAGAGGGGGAUGGAAUUCCGCGUGUAGCAGUGAAAUGCGUAGAUAUGCGGAGGAACACCGAUGGCGAAGGCAAUCCCCUGGGCCUGUACUGACGCUCAUGCACGAAAGCGUGGGGAGCAAACAGGAUUAGAUACCCCCGUAGUCCCUGUCUCUUAUAA
RNAcentral lists this ribosomal RNA (303 nucleotides) under uncultured bacterium. RNAcentral's name for it is "partial 16S ribosomal RNA". It matches the Rfam family "Bacterial small subunit ribosomal RNA", at positions 507 to 809 of the family's 1533-position model. The record is from RNAcentral.